UCCCUGGUAGUAUAUCGGUUAGUACACGCGCCUGUCAUUUAUAUUCAGUGUUAGCUCAAACGUGCGAAAGCUGGGUUCGACUCCCAGCCAGGGAG
This 95-nucleotide transfer RNA is filed under the name Lentinula raphanica. Its description in RNAcentral is "tRNA-Asp". It matches the Rfam family "tRNA". Rfam says of the family: Transfer RNA (tRNA) molecules are approximately 80 nucleotides in length. The record is from RNAcentral. Lineage: Eukaryota; Fungi; Basidiomycota; Agaricomycetes; Agaricales; Omphalotaceae.